This 2157-nucleotide long non-coding RNA is filed under the name Macaca mulatta (Rhesus monkey). RNAcentral describes it as "lncRNA (ENSMMUG00000051377.1)". Lineage: Eukaryota; Metazoa; Chordata; Mammalia; Primates; Cercopithecidae. The record is from RNAcentral.
CCCAGUGAUGUCCAAUGAGAAAGACAUGCUGUACCUAUCUGCCCACCUAGAUGCAUCUCUAGUCCAACACCAGCAAGUGGGGAAGAGACUUUUAAUAAAUGUCUGUGCAACGGGAUACAGAAAGCUGAUGGCCUCUUCUCAGUGUGGGUGGACACCAGGAAAUCCUCCUACUCCAACACCAUCUACCCUUCUGAGUGACUGUCACCAUAUUCUUGCAAAAUCCCUUUCAGUUCAUAGCUAGGUGCACCAUGGGUAAGCAAAUUACUCAAGCUGAGCCCCUUGAUUUUUUUUUCUUUUUGUUUAUAAGGCUGUCCUUUGGAAUAUAUAUAUAUAUAUAUAUAUAUUUUUUUUUACACCAAUGAGAGAGGAGGUGGUUCGAUCUUUUUCUGGUGGUAGAAAGAAGUGUGAAAUUUGGAAACUGUUAGCCAGAAUUUCCACUAAGCAAAGAAAGUUAAUCUGUAGGAAAAGCUAAUGAACCCAAUAUGCAGAAAACUGGAGACUACGGAGAGCAAGAGUCCUGACAGCAUGUGGUUGAGAGCCAGAUGAAUGUGUGUUCUUACUGUCAUGCGUUCAAUUCUUCCACCAAUCAUUUAGACCUCCCCCAGUCCCACUCCCAUCACCAUCCCUCUUUUGGUUGAAAGGAGUUUGCUAUGGUUUGCGGCUAGGCUGCAGCUCCAGAAAGUAUAAAUUGUAAACCUUGGUGGCAUCUACAUGGUAUUCAUUCUACAGGCUUGCAGAAAGUGAGAGGUGUGGAGGCUUGGCAGCCUCCAUCCAGAUUCCAAAGGAUUCAAAAGGGGCCUGGCAGAGACUUGUCGCAGGGACAGAGCCACCAUAAAGGGCCCCCACUAGAACAAUGCCCAGCAGAAAUGCGGGCUCAGAGUUGCUGCAGAGACUCCCCACUAGGACAAUGCCUAGUGGAGCCAUGGGAACGGGACUACCACCAGGAUCCUAGAACUAUGGGGUCACCGGCAGGACGCAAAGCCCACCUGGAAAGCUUCUGACACUGAACUCCAACCCCUAUGAGCAACCACGUGGGCUGCAGUCAGCAAGGUCAUAGGGGUGGGGCUGCCUGAGGUCCUUGGGGCCCAACUCCCACCCCAGUGUGCCCACGGAGCAGCACGUGGAGUAUAAGAUGACAGCACAUGGAGUCAAGAUUUAAUGUCUGUCCUCCUGAAUUUCAGCCUUGCUUGGAGUCUGUUACCCCUUUCUUUUGGCUGAUUUCUCCCUUUUAGAAUGAGAAUGUUUACCCAAUGCCUGCACAACCAUUGUUUCUUGAGAAUAAAUAACUUGAUUUUGAUUUUAUAGGCUCAUAGCUGCAAGGAACUUUCCUUGAAUCUCAAAUGAGACAUUGGACUUUGGACUUCUAAAAUGAUGCUGGAAUAAGUUAAGAUUUUUGGGACUGUCGGCUGGGCGUGGUGGCUCACGUCUGUAAUCCCAGCACUUUGGGAGGCCGAGGCGGGCAGAUCACGAGGUCAGGAGAUCAAGACCAUCCUGGCUAACACAGUGAAACCCCGUCUCUACUAAAAAUACAAAAAGAUUAGCCAGGCGUGGCGGCAGGCUCCUGUAGUCCCAGCCACUCGGGAGGCUGAGGCAGGAGAAUGGCGUAAACUCGGGAGGCGGAGCUUGCAGUGAGCGGAGAUCGCCAGUGCACUCCAGCCUGGGCGACAGAGCAAGACUCCGUCUCAAAAAAAAAAAAAAAAAAAAAAAAGAAAGAAGAUUUUUGGGAUUAUUAGAAUGGAAUGAUUGUGUUGCUUCAUGUGAGUAGGACAUGACUUCAUGACUUUUGGGGGACCAGAAGUGGAAUGCCUAAUGGGAUUAGGCAGGGUUGGGAGAUGGGGCCUAAUGGGAUGUGUUUGGGGCGUGAGGACAGAUCCCUCAUGAAUGGCUUAGUGCUGUUCUCGGGGUAGUGAGUGACUUCUGCAAUCGUGAAUUUCUUCCCACAGGACUGGAUUAGUUCCUGCAGGAGUGGUUUGUUAUAAAGCUAGUUUAUAAAGCCCCUCUGUUUCCCCUCUUUCCACGUGUCUGCCUUCGCUUUUUACCUUCUCCACCAUGUUGUAAGACAGCAUGAAAGUCCUCACCAGAAGCCAGGACUAUGCCCUUGGAGUUCCCACUCCACAGAACCAUGAGCUAAGUGAACCUCUUUUCCUUACAAAUCAC